RNAcentral lists this ribosomal RNA (301 nucleotides) under uncultured bacterium. RNAcentral describes it as "partial 16S ribosomal RNA". It matches the Rfam family "Bacterial small subunit ribosomal RNA", at positions 509 to 807 of the family's 1533-position model. The record is from RNAcentral.
CAGCAGCCGCGGUAAUACGAAGGGGGCUAGCGUUGUUCGGAUUUACUGGGCGUAAAGCGCACGUAGGCGGACUUUUAAGUCAGGGGUGAAAUCCCGGGGCUCAACCCCGGAACUGCCUUUGAUACUGGAAGUCUUGAGUAUGGUAGAGGGGAGUGGAAUUCCGAGUGUAGAGGUGAAAUUCGUAGAUAUUCGGAGGAACACCAGUGGCGAAGGCGGCUCACUGGACCAUUACUGACGCUGAGGUGCGAAAGCGUGGGGAGCAAACAGGAUUAGAUACCCCUGUAGUCCCUGUCUCUUAUAC